UACGAAGGGGGCUAGCGUUGCUCGGAAUUACUGGGCGUCAAGGGCGCGUAGGCGGAUAGUUUAGUCAGAGGUGAAAGCCCAGGGCUCAACCUUGGAAUUGCCUUUGAUACUGGCUAUCUUGAGUUCGGGAGAGGUGAGUGGAAUGCCGAGUGUAGAGGUGAAAUUCGUAGAUAUUCGGCGGAACACCAGUGGCGAAGGCGACUCACUGGCCCGAUACUGACGCUGAGGCGCGAAAGCGUGGGGAGCAAACAGG
This 253-nucleotide ribosomal RNA is filed under the name uncultured bacterium. RNAcentral describes it as "partial 16S ribosomal RNA". It matches the Rfam family "Bacterial small subunit ribosomal RNA", at positions 524 to 776 of the family's 1533-position model. The record is from RNAcentral.